GCCUUCGUGGUGUAACGGUAGCACACUCGGCAUCUACUCGAGAGGUUCAGGUUCGAGUCCCGGCGAGGGCA
RNAcentral lists this transfer RNA (71 nucleotides) under Stegodyphus mimosarum. It matches the Rfam family "tRNA". Rfam says of the family: Transfer RNA (tRNA) molecules are approximately 80 nucleotides in length. Their secondary structure includes four short double-helical elements and three loops (D, anti-codon, and T loops). Further hydrogen bonds mediate the characteristic L-shaped molecular structure. tRNAs have two regions of fundamental functional importance: the anti-codon, which is responsible for specific mRNA codon recognition, and the 3' end, to which the tRNAs corresponding amino acid is attached (by aminoacyl-tRNA synthetases). tRNAs cope with the degeneracy of the genetic code in two manners: having more than one tRNA (with a specific anti-codon) for a particular amino acid; and 'wobble' base-pairing, i.e. permitting non-standard base-pairing at the 3rd anti-codon position. Lineage: Eukaryota; Metazoa; Arthropoda; Arachnida; Araneae; Eresidae. The record is from Rfam by way of RNAcentral.